UGUCCGUAGGUGAACCAGCGGAAGGAUCAUUAGCGAAUUGUGUAUGUUAGCGGACCUCUUCGGGGUCCCUACCAUCAAAUCAUAUCCAUAACACCUGUGAACUGUAAGGCUGUCUUUAACACAAAAGUGAGUAGAGCGCCUGCCAAUUUUAUACAAACCUUAAGGUAACAAACGAAUUCUUAAUAUCAUCUAAUAAAACUUUCAGCAACGGAUCUCUUGGCUCUC
This 225-nucleotide unclassified non-coding RNA is filed under the name plant metagenome. Its description in RNAcentral is "partial contains small subunit ribosomal RNA, internal transcribed spacer 1, and 5.8S ribosomal RNA". The record is from RNAcentral.